AUACGGAGGGGGCAAGCGUUGUUCGGAAUUACUGGGCGUAAAGGGCGCGUAGGCGGAUUAUCAAGUCAGAGGUGAAAGCCCUGGGCUCAACCUGGGAACUGCCUUUGAAACUGAUAGUCUUGAGUCCGGGAGAGGAUGGCGGAAUUCCCAGUGUAGAGGUGAAAUUCGUAGAUAUUGGGAAGAACACCAGUGGCGAAGGCGGCCAUCUGGCUCGGUACUGACGCUGAGGCGCGAAAGCGUGGGGAGCAAACAGGAUUAGAAACCCCAGUAGUCC
RNAcentral lists this ribosomal RNA (274 nucleotides) under uncultured bacterium. RNAcentral's name for it is "partial 16S ribosomal RNA". It matches the Rfam family "Bacterial small subunit ribosomal RNA", at positions 523 to 796 of the family's 1533-position model. The record is from RNAcentral.